Molecule: ribosomal RNA, 460 nt
Filed under: uncultured bacterium
Lineage: Bacteria
Description: partial 16S ribosomal RNA
Rfam family: Bacterial small subunit ribosomal RNA
Source: RNAcentral
CCUACGGGAGGCUGCAGUGAGGAAUAUUGGUCAAUGGACGAGAGUCUGAACCAGCCAAGUAGCGUGAAGGAUGACUGCCCUAUGGGUUGUAAACUUCUUUUAUAAAGGAAUAAAACGAGGCACGUGUGCCUUUUUGCAUGUACUUUAUGAAUAAGGAUCGGCUAACUCCGUGCCAGCAGCCGCGGUAAUACGGAGGAUCCGAGCGUUAUCCGGAUUUAUUGGGUUUAAAGGGAGCGUAGAUGGGUUGUUAAGUCAGUUGUGAAAGUUUGCGGCUCAAUCGUAAAAUUGCAAUUGAUACUGGCAGUCGUGAGUACAGUUGAGGUAGGCGGAAUUCGUGGUGUAGCGGUGAAAUGCUUAGAUAUCACGAAGAACCCCGAUUGCGAAGGCAGCUUACUAAACUGUGACUGACAUUGAUGCUCGAAAGUGUGGGUAUCAAACAGGAUUAGAUACCCGGGUAGUC